UUACUUGAAGACAACUAAAUU
This 21-nucleotide non-coding RNA is filed under the name Caenorhabditis elegans. Lineage: Eukaryota; Metazoa; Nematoda; Chromadorea; Rhabditida; Rhabditidae. The record is from RNAcentral.